UGUUUGGAAAGAGUUCCAGCUUCAUCACGGAGUUUCUCUCGGUUUGUGGGCUCAUCUAAAGCUGAUCAGCAGGAGGAGAAGAGUCUGACGGAGCACCAGACGAACAUUUUCAACCAUUUGGACUCAGCUCAGCUGCUACAGUGGACAAAAAUGUCAUCAACACAAAAGGACCAACAUGGAGCGAGAAGCGAGAAGCGCUUUAAGGAGGCCGACAAACCUCACAGAAGAA
Oreochromis niloticus (Nile tilapia) is the source of this 229-nucleotide long non-coding RNA. RefSeq lists it as uncharacterized. The record is from RefSeq and is a predicted model, not a curated record. The transcript is spliced from 3 exons. NCBI's taxonomy places the organism in Eukaryota, Metazoa, Chordata, Actinopteri, Cichliformes, Cichlidae.